GUGGAUUAGAUACCCUAGUAGUCCACGCCGUAAACGAUGAUCACUCGCUGUUAGCGAUACACAGUUAGCGGCUAAGCAAAAGCAUUAAGUGAUCCACCUGGGGAGUACGGCCGCAAGGCUGAAACUCAAAGGAAUUGACGGGGGCCCGCACAAGCGGAGGAACAUGUGGUUUAAUUCGAUGAUACGCGAGGAACCUUACCUGGGCUUAAAUGUAGAGUGCAUGAGGUGGAAACACUUCUUUCCUUCGGGACUCUUUACAAGGUGCUGCACGGCUGUCGCCAACU
This 284-nucleotide ribosomal RNA is filed under the name uncultured bacterium. Its description in RNAcentral is "partial 16S ribosomal RNA". It matches the Rfam family "Bacterial small subunit ribosomal RNA", at positions 773 to 1060 of the family's 1533-position model. The record is from RNAcentral.